Molecule: transfer RNA, 74 nt
Filed under: Fusibacter sp. 3D3
Lineage: Bacteria; Bacillati; Bacillota; Clostridia; Eubacteriales; Fusibacteraceae
Description: Fusibacter sp. 3-D3-R-P8ASC2010 tRNA
Rfam family: tRNA
About the family: Transfer RNA (tRNA) molecules are approximately 80 nucleotides in length. Their secondary structure includes four short double-helical elements and three loops (D, anti-codon, and T loops).
Source: Rfam by way of RNAcentral
GCAUCCUUAGCUCAAUCGGAUAGAGUAGCGGACUUCGAAUUCGUUGGUUGUGGGUUCGAAUCCCGCAGGGUGCA